UUCUGAUGUUGCACGACGGGAAAUGCUUUGAAUACUUGCGACAUGGCCGCUUGCAUUGAUUGCCAAGAUUGACAGCAUUAACCAUCGUCUUCUGUCGCUUCUGUUUUAGAGUAGAGAGGGAAAACGCGAUAAAUAUACUUCUAACUGCUCUCAGUAGUUUUGACAGUUCAACUUCAUACAGCCAAAGCGGGAUUCCCUCUUCGGUCAGUGGAAGCGAUACACUUCAGUUUUCCCCUUUUUCUCCGCUACUACACAUCAGUGUACAUUAUCUGUAACCUGUUUGAAAACCAAUAACGGGAUACGGCGAAGACGAGCGCUUGUUUGGUAUCCUGCUCACAUCAAGGACGUUCUGCCCGUGGAUUUGGGGAGGAACUUGUGGUUUUGUGCAAGCAAAGAGCAUUUCCUAGCUGGAUCCGGCGAGCAGAUACCGACAGAUCGCAGACGAACGCUUAUGGUGCCAGUCAUUUUCAUGAAUUCAAAAUCAACUCACCAGUGAUUUUUGGGAGCUGGAGAUAGAGAAGUCUUUCUGUUUAUAACCCAAAUGCUGAACAUGGAGGGCUUUCUGCGUAGCAGCUUUUUACUGAGCAGAAUCAUGUCUUCCAAGCAAGCCACCUCUCCAUUCGCCUUGACCCCUGAUGGAGGCGAGGA
Sinocyclocheilus grahami is the source of this 648-nucleotide long non-coding RNA. RefSeq lists it as uncharacterized. Lineage: Eukaryota; Metazoa; Chordata; Actinopteri; Cypriniformes; Cyprinidae. The record is from RefSeq and is a predicted model, not a curated record. The transcript is spliced from 5 exons.